GCUGGGGAGGCCCGGGCUCCAGGGGGGUCUCGGGCUCCCGGGCCUUCCUGUCUGCACCGCCUGCUGCUGUAGCUGAGCCACGUGUCGCCACUCGUGACAAGGCAGGUUGAGACCCCACUGAGGAUUGCCUGCCGCUGCCAGCUGGACAGGGGGGCCUGGAGCUGUGGGCUGCCCCGUGUGGGGAUUAUGGGCCCGGGGGAUUAGCCACGGGGCCCUGCACCUGCUUUACCAGCCGGCCACCCUGACAGGCUUGGGGUCCAGCCCGAGGGGCCCCGCGAGCUUGAGUCCGUGUGAAGGCGUCUUGGGGACUUAGCCUGGCUUUUGGUUGGAAGAAGCAACCCCCAAAACGGUGACAGUUUUGUCACAGUUGCUUUUUGUCUCUUGUUUACACCGUACACACGUUUCUUGGCCUUUAUUCCCCUGGAAGCUUUAAGGAAGUGGGGUGAGCCUCGGGUAUUCGUGUAUGAAGGACGCCCCGAGGUGCACUUGGGCCAGUCCCCUCCUCAUUGCUCACCCCUGUUCCCACAUUUAAUAACUCACGUCUCACAACUCUCUGUAUCUUCUGGGAACUGGGCGGUUGUAACUUUCCCAUAUUCAUUCGGGGUCUUUUUCUUAUUGAUUGGUGGAAGCUCUUUAUAUAUCGUGAACAGUGUUCAUUUUUGUUCUUUUUAAUUUAUGCACAGGUAUGAGUGGUCUUUUCUCAUCUCUUAUGAUGAUAAAUAAUGUCAGGCAGAUAUCUUUGUAUUUACGUGGCCAAACUUAUCAAUCUCUACUCUUACGGUUUCUCGGUUUGGUGUCGUGGACAGAAGAGUUCCCUGUUCUGAGGUUAUAAUUUUUCUAGAGCCUCUGUAGUUUCACUUAAAAAAAAAAACAACACAUUUAAAAUCUUGCUAUAUUUGGAACUCAUCCCUACACAAGGUGUAAGAGAGUCUACUGUUCCGUGUUUUUCCAGGUGGUUCGGGGUUGUCCCAACUCUACUUUCUGGAUAAGCUGCUUUUCCUCCCUGAUUUGAGAUGCCACCUUUAUCACAUACCAGAUUCGUGCACGUGGCUGCUCUAUUUCUGGACUUUCUAUUCUGUCCCACUCAUCCGCCUGGUUCUUGCAGCAGGCGAGUCUGUAACGACGAGUAAUAACAUGUUUCCUUUAAAAAAGCAACAAUCAGACCUGUGGUCAGGGGAGAGGGAAGAUUCCUGUCUCGCCCUCUGCUUCCAGGAGAGAUAACCGUCAUCCCAGGUGGUUUUCUGUGUCCGUACAUUUUCUUUUUUAACUUCCUGUUUUGAAAAUUCUCAAGCCUGCAGAAAAAGUUGCAGGAAUACUGCAGCAAACACCCAUAGGCCUUUAGCUGAGAUUCGCCAGCUGCUCACACUUCACCACGUUACGUUAUCUUUUUACCAAAUGGGUAUUAUCACGCACGCGCACGCGUGCGUGUGUGAGGGAGACAGAGAGAUGCUGCGGGCCACUUGAGAGUCGGCUGCGGACUUGAUGCCCCUUUGGCCCUGAUACACCCAGGUGGCCGGUUUUCCUCAUUCGCGUCGGUUCUGUCCUGUAAGGUCGGCGCGAACACCGAGUCCGUGGAUACGGAAGCAGGGCUCCCGCGGGCGCACAGGGUGAGGUCCCUGCAAGCCUCUGCUCACAGUUUCAUCGUGGAAGCUUGUGUCACGUGUGUUUCUGUUCAGAGCCUCUCUGUAAGUGUGCUUCAUGCUCAAGAGCCGGCCACCAAGAGUCAAGAGUCGUACACUUCACCGAGCCCGCCGGGCGCCGCCCCCGAAGCGCAAAUGUUUCUCAUUUUGAGGAAGUCCAGUCUAUUUUGCCUCGGUUGCUUGUGCUUCGUUGUCACGUGCAAGAAGCCACGGCCGGACCCGACGUGGUAAAGGCUCGGCCGUGUUUUCCUCUGUUCGUUACAUCGGUUUCGAGUCCCGCUGUGCUGGGGGUCUGUCCUGUGUGUGGUGUGGGAUGGGGCCCCACUCCGUCCUCCACGCAGGGAGGUCCUGUCGUCCCGGCGUGGGGAUUGCACCCCCCCCCCGAGGGGUCGUGGUGCCCGGUGGAUCUCAGCGGGCUGCAAGUGUGCACAUGGACGCCUGGAUCCUCAGUGAUGCAUUCUGGACCAUUCCACGAUGUCCCUGCCUCUGUGGGGACCACCCGGCCUGGAUUACUGUGGCUUUGUCAUCAGUUAGGAAAUGAGGAAAUGGGAGAGGCGCCUGGGCGGCUCAGUUGGUGACGCGUCUGACUCAGUUUCAGCUCCGGUCGUGAUCUUGGGGUCCCGGCAUUGAGCCCCACAUCGGGCUCCGCGCUCAGUGGGGAGGCGGCUUGAGAUCCUCCUCCCUCUGCCCCUCCUCCCGCUCGCUCUGUUUCUCUCCAAAACAAAUAAAUCUGUAAAAAAGAAAAAAAAUGGG
Molecule: long non-coding RNA, 2393 nt
Organism: Canis lupus familiaris (dog)
Lineage: Eukaryota; Metazoa; Chordata; Mammalia; Carnivora; Canidae
Exons: 2
Source: RefSeq, a predicted model, not a curated record